GAUAAAGUGGCUGAAGAUUUAGGCAAUAAAUUGUAAAUUUAUAAAUGGUUAAUUAACCCUUUAUCA
This 66-nucleotide transfer RNA is filed under the name Eysarcoris rosaceus. RNAcentral's name for it is "tRNA-Tyr". It matches the Rfam family "tRNA". Rfam says of the family: Transfer RNA (tRNA) molecules are approximately 80 nucleotides in length. The record is from RNAcentral. Lineage: Eukaryota; Metazoa; Arthropoda; Insecta; Hemiptera; Pentatomidae.